This is a long non-coding RNA of Sander lucioperca (pikeperch), 109 nucleotides long. RefSeq lists it as uncharacterized. Lineage: Eukaryota; Metazoa; Chordata; Actinopteri; Perciformes; Percidae. The transcript has 3 exons. The record is from RefSeq and is a predicted model, not a curated record.
GGCUGAAUAGAGGUAAACUGUUCUUAGUUAAAGAUAGUUGGAUUCAAGGCAUAGCUAAAAUCCCAUAUUGUGUCUGCUCUUUUCAGUAUUGAGAGGGUCUAAAAGUACU